Molecule: transfer RNA, 92 nt
Filed under: Pseudomonas sp. B21-054
Lineage: Bacteria; Pseudomonadati; Pseudomonadota; Gammaproteobacteria; Pseudomonadales; Pseudomonadaceae
Description: tRNA-OTHER
Source: RNAcentral
CCGGCAGUGGUUGGUGGCAUUGGACGUUGGUCAACCUGCCAACAUCAACCAACAGCUUGCCCAGGGGCGCGGGUUCGAACCUGCCUGCUGGC